RNAcentral lists this ribosomal RNA (467 nucleotides) under uncultured bacterium. Its description in RNAcentral is "partial 16S ribosomal RNA". It matches the Rfam family "Bacterial small subunit ribosomal RNA", at positions 28 to 506 of the family's 1533-position model. The record is from RNAcentral.
GACGAACGCUGGCGGCGUGCUUAACACAUGCAAGUCGAACGGAAAGGCCCUGCUUUUGUGGGGUGCUCGAGUGGCGAACGGGUGAGUAACACGUGAGUAACCUGCCCUUGACUUUGGGAUAACUUCAGGAAACUGGGGCUAAUACCGGAUAGGAGCUCCUGCUGCAUGGUGGGGGUUGGAAAGUUUCGGCGGUUGGGGAUGGACUCGCGGCUUAUCAGCUUGUUGGUGGGGUAGUGGCUUACCAAGGCUUUGACGGGUAGCCGGCCUGAGAGGGUGACGGGCCAGAGUGGGACUGAGGUACGGCCCAGACUGCUACGGGAGGCAGCAGUGGGGAAUAUUGCACAAUGGGCGGAAGCAUGAUGGAGAAACGCCGCGUGCGGGAUGACGGCCUUCGGGUUGAAAGCCACUUUCGCCUGUGAGGAAGCGUGAGUGACGGUAAUGGGUAAAGAAGCACCGGCUAACUACGU